CGGCAGCACGGGGGCAACCCUGGUGGCGAGUGGCGAACGGGUGAGUAAUACAUCGGAACGUGUCCUGGAGUGGGGGAUAGCCCGGCGAAAGCCGGAUUAAUACCGCAUACGCUCUGUGGAGGAAAGGGGGGGAUCUUCGGACCUCUCGCUCAAGGGGCGGCCGAUGGCAGAUUAGCUAGUUGGUGGGGUAAAGGCCUACCAAGGCGACGAUCUGUAGCUGGUCUGAGAGGACGACCAGCCACACUGGGACUGAGACACGGCCCAGACUCCUACGGGAGGCAGCAGUGGGGAAUUUUGGACAAUGGGCGCAAGCCUGAUCCAGCAAUGCCGCGUGUGUGAAGAAGGCCUUCGGGUUGUAAAGCACUUUUGUCCGGAAAGAAAACCUCGUGGUUAAUACCCGUGGGGGAUGACGGUACCGGAAGAAUAAGCACCGGCUAACUACGUGCCAGCAGCCGCGGUAAUACGUAGGGUGCAAGCGUUAAUCGGAAUUACUGGGCGUAAAGCGUGCGCAGGCGGUUCGCUAAGACAGAUGUGAAAUCCCCGGGCUUAACCUGGGAACUGCAUUUGUGACUGGCGGGCUAGAGUAUGGCAGAGGGGGGUAGAAUUCCACGUGUAGCAGUGAAAUGCGUAGAGAUGUGGAGGAAUACCGAUGGCGAAGGCAGCCCCCUGGGCCAAUACUGACGCUCAUGCACG
RNAcentral lists this ribosomal RNA (693 nucleotides) under Burkholderia sp. alfa48b-PCA-E3-2. RNAcentral describes it as "bacterial SSU rRNA". It matches the Rfam family "Bacterial small subunit ribosomal RNA", at positions 67 to 755 of the family's 1533-position model. Lineage: Bacteria; Pseudomonadati; Pseudomonadota; Betaproteobacteria; Burkholderiales; Burkholderiaceae. The record is from RNAcentral.